Lolium rigidum is the source of this 2256-nucleotide long non-coding RNA. RefSeq lists it as uncharacterized. NCBI's taxonomy places the organism in Eukaryota, Viridiplantae, Streptophyta, Magnoliopsida, Poales, Poaceae. The record is from RefSeq and is a predicted model, not a curated record. The transcript is spliced from 3 exons.
UCUACAACACUCCUCACUUAGGACCACUGAUUCCGUCACCGUCGCCAUGACUGUGGAUGUGUUGGUCAAGGCGGCCGCCGGGAGGCCGACGCGCUCGGCGACUGUGAGUACUCUGUCGUCCACCUCACUUUAGUGCUCUCGUUCGUUCGGCGCGGAGCCCUAACUGUUUCGGCGGCCAUGUCCACAUCCCUUCGCCCAUAGGCCAUAGGGUGCUGCUUACGCUGGAGGCGAAGGAGGUGUCGUACAAGAUGAUGCUCGUCGACCUCAGUAACAAGCCCGAGUGGGCCCCUACAUCAAUGGGGAGUACGUGUCGGCUGCAGAUCUCAGCCUGGGACUGAAGCUCUUCCAUCUCCAGGUUGCUCUGGAGCAUUUCAAAGGCUGGAAGAUCCCUGAAACCCUGACCAGCGUCCAUGCCUACACCGAGGUACACCAGAUGUUUACUGAAUUAGGCAGAAUGGUUGAUUACCAAAACUUCUGCCAUUUCCAGAACUUGUUCAUAGCUGUUAAGUUACUAAGCUUUGCGUUGUGUUUGUUUGUGCAGGCUCUCUUCACCAAGGAGUCUUUUGUGAAGACAAAGCCAGCCAGAGAGCACCUGAUCGCUGGGUGGGCGCCAAAGGUGAACCCGUAAGCUCUCACUGUUCGAAAGACCACCCGUUUGUGUCCGUUUGGGCCUUGUCAGCAGUGGUGAUGGCCAGUAGGCCUACUAUCUAGCUUGAUCGCGUGAUCUGGGUUGGAAUAAUGCGAAGCCUUACUGAUAUCAGUCGAUUGAAUUAGCUGCAAUGCAUGGAAGGGGAAGUCCAAUUAAGAGAGAUGCAGUCCAGGGUGGAUAAGGCCAACAAGGACAUACAAGAAGAGAUGGCACAUAGAUAUGCCGCAGAGGAGGCAAGCGCCCGUGCUAAGGAUCUUGUAAGAGCGGAGGUUAUGUAGAAAAAUAAGCUGCUGGCACAGGCAUCCAAAGACGCUGAUAAGAAGUUGAGAUUGGAGCAGCUCUUUCCAUUUCAAGACAACUCAUACUUGAUGUUCACUUGGGUGGAGAUUAAUAACGCCACAUCAUCAUUCUCAGAAUCAAACAAGAUUGGAACUGGAUCUAAUGGAACGGUAGACGAGGGCUAUCUCAAACACUUCGAUGUAGCAAUGAAGCAACCCCAUUCUAAUGACAGCACCAGUACCAAGCAUAUCAACCAAGAGAUCGAGGUUCUGAGCAGGAUACACCAUCCACACCUAUUGAUGCUCCUCGGAGCCUGCCCGGACAGUGGCUGCUUGGUGUACGAGUGCAGGGAGAACGGCAGCCUUGCGGAUCCUCUGCAAUGCAUAAAUGGCACACCAGCAAUCCCAUGGUUCCACCUCUUCUGCAUGGCCUAGGAAAUCGUGUCAGCCCUUAUGUUCCUUGACAGCACAAAGCUCAACCCGAUCAUCCACCGUGACCUGAUGCCUGAAAACGUGCUGCUCUUAACCUAGUCAGCAAAAUUUGUGAUGUUGGCCUGUCAACACUAGUCCCACUGCAGGAGUCUUUGUCAAGCCAUACGGUGUGCAAGAAGACCGGUCUAGCUAUUCUACCUAGACCCAGAGUACCAGUGAACUGGGCAGGUGUCCGUCAAGUCUGACACGUACUCCUUUGGCAUGGUGAUCCUGCGGCUGCUGACGGCGAGGCCACCGAUUGGGUUUACCUGAACUAGUGGAGGGAGCAGUGGAAGGUGUUGAACUUAAGUAUUUGCUGGAUGAAAGUGCAGGGAACUGGUCCUUGAAAGAAGCGUGUGAUCUAGCUUAGCUGGGCCUAAGGUGUCUGGAAAUGUGCGGCCUGACCUUAGAAGCAUGGCGGCGGUAGAGCUGGAAAGCUGAAGCAUAGGAGCGCAACGUGGUCGAGAUGUGGAUGUGUGAGAACAAUGUAUCGCCGACGAUGAAAUCACUGCUACUUAACAAGACGCUGGUGCCUAAUCGGUCGCUUCUGACCGUGAUCAUGAGCUGGAGGUCCCAGGCAGGCAUUUUAUUGAGGCUAAUGGUAAAUAGUUAGUCUAACCGCACGUAUCUUCAGGGUCAGGGGAGAAGGUCAAUCUAUGUGAUGUUAUGUUAUAGAAGAGGCAGUAGAGCUUUUUUCUGGUCUGUCUGCCUGUCUGUUUGUCUCACCUGCUGUAUGCAGUUUCCACAUAAAGUGAAGCAGUAUUUUUGCAACUAUAAUUACCAUAAUGUGUAAGCUUACUAUCACUCUAUCAGCAGUCGAUUGGCUAAUGUUUCCACGGGAAUUUUCUUUUUGACAAA